RNAcentral lists this transfer RNA (122 nucleotides) under Candidatus Woesearchaeota archaeon. RNAcentral describes it as "tRNA-Gly". The record is from RNAcentral. Lineage: Archaea; Nanobdellati; Candidatus Woesearchaeota.
GCGCGAGUAGUUCAGCGGUUAAUCUGAAUGAUCCGUAGAUAAUUCGGCCUUGCCAAGGCUGAGACCCGAGAAAUAGCUCUUUAGGGAGUUAUUGGGGAUUUCGAAUCUCGGCUCGCGCACCA